This 1055-nucleotide ribosomal RNA is filed under the name Salmonella enterica subsp. enterica serovar Newport. Its description in RNAcentral is "partial 23S ribosomal RNA". It matches the Rfam family "Bacterial large subunit ribosomal RNA", at positions 114 to 1211 of the family's 2925-position model. Lineage: Bacteria; Pseudomonadati; Pseudomonadota; Gammaproteobacteria; Enterobacterales; Enterobacteriaceae. The record is from RNAcentral.
CCGAAUGGGGAAACCCAGUGUGAUUCGUCACACUAUCAUUAACUGAAUCCAUAGGUUAAUGAGGCGAACCGGGGGAACUGAAACAUCUAAGUACCCCGAGGAAAAGAAAUCAACCGAGAUUCCCCCAGUAGCGGCGAGCGAACGGGGAGGAGCCCAGAGCCUGAAUCAGCAUGUGUGUUAGUGGAAGCGUCUGGAAAGGCGCGCGAUACAGGGUGACAGCCCCGUACACAAAAGCGCAUGUGCUGUGAGCUCGAUGAGUAGGGCGGGACACGUGGUAUCCUGUCUGAAUAUGGGGGGACCAUCCUCCAAGGCUAAAUACUCCUGACUGACCGAUAGUGAACCAGUACCGUGAGGGAAAGGCGAAAAGAACCCCGGCGAGGGGAGUGAAAAAGAACCUGAAACCGUGUACGUACAAGCAGUGGGAGCACCCUUCGGGGUGUGACUGCGUACCUUUUGUAUAAUGGGUCAGCGACUUAUAUUCUGUAGCAAGGUUAACCGAAUAGGGGAGCCGGAGGGAAACCGAGUCUUAACCGGGCGUUAAGUUGCAGGGUAUAGACCCGAAACCCGGUGAUCUAGCCAUGGGCAGGUUGAAGGUUGGGUAACACUAACUGGAGGACCGAACCGACUAAUGUUGAAAAAUUAGCGGAUGACCUGUGGCUGGGGGUGAAAGGCCAAUCAAACCGGGAGAUAGCUGGUUCUCCCCGAAAGCUAUUUAGGUAGCGCCUCGUGAAUUCAUCUCCGGGGGUAGAGCACUGUUUCGGCUAGGGGGCCAUCCCGGCUUACCAACCCGAUGCAAACUGCGAAUACCGGAGAAUGUUAUCACGGGAGACACACGGCGGGUGCUAACGUCCGUCGUGAAGAGGGAAACAACCCAGACCGCCAGCUAAGGUCCCAAAGUCAUGGUUAAGUGGGAAACGAUGUGGGAAGGCCCAGACAGCCAGGAUGUUGGCUUAGAAGCAGCCAUCAUUUAAAGAAAGCGUAAUAGCUCACUGGUCGAGUCGGCCUGCGCGGAAGAUGUAACGGGGCUAAACCAUGCACCGAAGCUGCGGCAGCGA